AUCACCGAAAGGAAAUUUUUGAAUUUAGGAUAAUUUGUGGAGUGGUGUUCACUUUUUCAUUUCUAUUGAGCUUAAUAAUCAGUUCAUUAUUCACAUUGUCAAAAUUU
Non-coding RNA from Arachis ipaensis, 107 nucleotides. The record is from RefSeq and is a predicted model, not a curated record. NCBI's taxonomy places the organism in Eukaryota, Viridiplantae, Streptophyta, Magnoliopsida, Fabales, Fabaceae.